GGCGGCCCCGGCGGCGGCCAUUGGCCCGGCGGUCGCCCGCCCCGGGCUCACGUAACCCUGGCGGGAGGCGCGGCCCGGCUCGGGCGGCCCCGUGCGCCCGGCUCGCGUGGGACGGGGGCGGCCGCCGCGCUUAAAGGGGCCCGAGGGGCGCGGCCGGCAGCCUGGGGGGCAGCUCCGCGAGUCGCGCGGGCUGCCCAGGGAGGCUUCGCUCUUUCGUACCAGCGAGAAAGCAGUCGGGCUGAUCUUCGUUCUUUUUGACAAAGGCCCUGAACUUGGGUCGCUUUGUUCAGGUAACAGGGCUGCUUUAGAGGAGGCGUGUACUGAGAGCGGGCUUCACACGUGAGGCUGCUGUUUCAAAGGCUCUGAUUUGAAUCACACUGAGCCCAAGAUUUUUACUGCUAAAAUGGUGGAUUAGGUGUUUGUGUUGGUGAGCAAUCAUCCUUUUGCACAACUGAUAUCUAAUGUCACAGCUAUCUUGCUACAACCCUGAGGAUGAAACCGGAACUGGAGAUGGCAGAACAGAGAGGUGGAAGCAAGCUGGAUCCUUGGUGACAUUACAGAGCCACCAUCCCUUUGUCCUAAGCUGACAGUCCACGUCAGAUUAUGACCUCCUGCAGGACUGGGAAUGGAUUGCCCUUAUAACCUCCUAAGUCCCCAGGAUAAAGCUAUGCUGGACUGGUUGCUAAGGAAAGAAAUACUUGUUGACUAAAUAAAUGAAUGAAAGGCUUGAUUCAUAAACUAGAAAUGCAACAGGAAGAAUCUGGGGGGUCUGCCAGAAAAAGCCUCAAAGGAAAGCCUCCAUCCCUCACUAAUGGAUGAUAAAUUAUGGCUUGAUUAUGCCAUAUGGCAAAUCUAAAAAAGAAAAAGUGAUUUGAAUAUUAGACAUAUUCUCUGAGUGUCGAUUCCCUCAGAGAAGAUGAAUAAACGCUUCUGAUUUCUUCAGAAAAAUGCCAAUGUUUUCCUACCUGUGAAGCUCCCUAAAACACUAAGUUCCAUUGAAUAAUAAAAGGAUAAUUACGUAUUUUCUCCAAAAAAAGGAUGUGUGCCCCUUGAGCAUCAUAGAUUUAAUUGGCCUUUUUAGUAAGAACUGUACUAAACACAAAGACUUGCUAGUAUUAGGGUAGUGGUGUGAUUUUUGAGUGGGGCUGCUCUGCACUCUCUUGCCUAGAAGAAGAGGUACACAAUUUCACAGUGUACCCACCCUUCUUUGUCUACGUACCAUCCUUCUAGACCAGUGUUUU
This is a long non-coding RNA of Nycticebus coucang (slow loris), 1241 nucleotides long. RefSeq lists it as uncharacterized. NCBI's taxonomy places the organism in Eukaryota, Metazoa, Chordata, Mammalia, Primates, Lorisidae. The transcript is spliced from 4 exons. The record is from RefSeq and is a predicted model, not a curated record.